Long non-coding RNA from Pseudophryne corroboree (corroboree frog), 1638 nucleotides. RefSeq lists it as uncharacterized. Lineage: Eukaryota; Metazoa; Chordata; Amphibia; Anura; Myobatrachidae. The transcript has 3 exons. The record is from RefSeq and is a predicted model, not a curated record.
AAUGCCUGCCUGCCCGCCCGCCACCAGGAAAGGCUGCUGGCUGUCAGCUAUGCAUGCAGCCCAGCUCCGACUCUCUUUACUGGCUUGAACAUUAUUAGCUCCCUGCACACAAUACUGUGUGGUGAAGAAGAGCCCAAUAGCCGCCACGCUAACACUGAGACACCAUCCACCGGUUCCAGUCUGGGGGUGGACACCCUGCGCCGACGAGGGAUAUCAACGACAAGACGUACAGCCCAGCAGGCUACACCACAAGGAGGUCGCAGCACCAGUCGGGACAGGCACACCCCAGCUUUCGUCAGUGAGGCAUCUUCCGGACCAUGUAAUUUCCUGCAUGAAUAGUAAAUACCGACUAAAGACGCUGUCUGACCAGGGAGGAUACGUUUCUUCAGAGGUUCCCCAUUCUUCAGAGAAACCACCAUAAAGGGACCUAAAGUAAUUGUACAGUUGACUCAAAAGCUGUUUCAAGUACUAUCCUUUUCAUCAGUCAAGCAGCCAAAAUGUCUGGAGUUAAUUCCAAAAGUAGCAUUUACUUCACAAAAGCAGAUACAGAUACAAGGUGCAAGUCAUUCAUAAGCCUCAAAAAUACAAAGGCCAGAUUAGACUUUGCCAAAAAUCAUCUAAAAAAGCCAGCCCAGUUCUGGAACAGCGUUCUUUGGACGGGAUCAGUACGUAAUCCCGCUGGACGGGAUCCCGGCGGUCGAAAUACCGACGCCGGAAUCCCGACCACACAAUCCCGACAGGGGUGGCGAGCGGAACGCAGCCCCUUGUGGGCUCAUUUCGCUCGCCACGCUGUGGGCACGGUGCCUCGCUACGCUCGGCACACUAUUAUAUUCUCCCUCUAUGGGUGUCGUGGACACCCACGGAGGGAGAAUAUGUCGGGAUUGUGGCGCUCGGGAUUCCGGCGUCAGUAUUUCGACCGCCGAGAUCCCGUCCACCAGGAUGUUGACCGCAUCCCCUUUGGACAGAUAAAACUAAGAUCAACAUGUACCGGAAUGAUGGAAAGAAAGAAAUAUGGAGAAGGCUUGGAAUGUCUCAUAAUUGGAAGUGUAUCACAUCUUCUGUACAACACGAUGAAGGCAGUGUGAUAGCAUGUUCCUGCAUGGCUUCCAUUGGCAUGGGGUCACUAGUGUUGGUUGAUGAUGUGACAGAGGACAGAAGCAGCUGGAUGAAUUCUGAAGUGUAUAGAGAUAUACUGUCUGCUUAGAUUCAGUCAAAGUCUGCAAAGUUGAUUGGGCAUAGCUUUACAGUCCAGAUGGACAAUGACCCAAAACAUACCAGACUCAAACAUGCCAAACCACUCAGAAGUGUUUUAAGGUAAAGAAAUUGAAUAUUCUACAAUGACUGACUCAAUCACCUGAUCUCAACCUUAUCGAGUAUGCAUUUGACUUGCUGAAGACAAUACUAAAGGCAGAAAGACCCAUGAACAUCCACUAAAUACAUCUGCAGUAAAGACCUGCCAAAGCAUAACAAAGGAAGUAUUAAAAAUGAACAUUUUAUGUAUUAUUAUGUUACUUUGCUCAAUAACAUUUGAGCCAUUGAAAACAGGGGACUGUGUAUAAAAAUUGUUGCAUUUCCUAAACUAUUCAUACAAUAUUUUUGUUGAACGCCUUCAAUUAAAGCUGAAAGUCUGCACUUCAA